This 385-nucleotide ribosomal RNA is filed under the name Pseudo-nitzschia fraudulenta. RNAcentral describes it as "partial Bacterial small subunit ribosomal RNA". It matches the Rfam family "Bacterial small subunit ribosomal RNA", at positions 580 to 964 of the family's 1533-position model. Lineage: Eukaryota; Bacillariophyta; Bacillariophyceae; Bacillariales; Bacillariaceae. The record is from RNAcentral.
UUGUUAAGCUAGAUGUGAAAGCCCCGGGCUCAACCUGGGAUGGUCAUUUAGAACUGGCAGACUAGAGUCUUGGAGAGGGGAGUGGAAUUCCAGGUGUAGCGGUGAAAUGCGUAGAUAUCUGGAGGAACAUCAGUGGCGAAGGCGACUCCCUGGCCAAAGACUGACGCUCAUGUGCGAAAGUGUGGGUAGCGAACAGGAUUAGAUACCCUGGUAGUCCACACCGUAAACGCUGUCUACUAGCUGUGUGUGCCUUUAAGGCGUGCGUAGCGAAGCUAACGCGCUAAGUAGACCGCCUGGGGAGUACGGCCGCAAGGUUAAAACUCAAAUGAAUUGACGGGGGCCCGCACAAGCGUUGGAGCAUGUGGUUUAAUUCGAUGAUACGCGA